UGAAGACCGAAGGAUGUGUAAACAACCUGUAAAGCACUUAGAGCAGUGCCUGGCAUGCCGUAAGUUCUUACAAGCGUGUGGAUCAACGUUGCUGGAAGAGAGUGAAGAUAUGAUCAAACCAGGAAUGACAUAGUGGCAUGCAUCAGUAUGCGGUUGAGAUGAGAUCUGGUCUGUGAAAGCCUCCUGCACAGUGCAGGCAGAGUGCCUGCGUGGAGAAACUGAUGGAAUACCACCAUAGCCAGGAGCCCUCGGAUGCUGGGAUUAACACACGGGACUCUCUGCUAAGGCUGUCCUCCUCCCGAUUCCAUGCCUGGUUAAACCAUAUUGAAAGAAGCAAGAGUGUUAAAAAAGGACCCGGAG
This is a long non-coding RNA of Zalophus californianus (California sea lion), 360 nucleotides long. RefSeq lists it as uncharacterized. Lineage: Eukaryota; Metazoa; Chordata; Mammalia; Carnivora; Otariidae. The transcript is spliced from 4 exons. The record is from RefSeq and is a predicted model, not a curated record.